AGGUGCAAUGUGCAAUCUGAAAUAAUUUCUUUGUUAAUCUAAUAUUGUCACCCUUCUCAUUUCCCUUGCAGUGUUGGUUUGUUUUCAAAUCAUUGCGUUAUUUGGGAUUGUAUUUGCAUCGUAAGAGGUAUGUAUCCUGUGAGUGAUGGGGAUUUUAUCACUCCCUCCAGGUGGUGGGAGAUCACCCUAAUUUAUAGGUAUGGAAUAUUAGUGAAUAUAUAUAUAUAUAUGUACAUUGACAUUGUGUAUGUAUAUACCCCGUGAGUGAUGGGGAUUUUAUCACUCCAUCUGGGUGGUGGGAGAUCACCCUAAUUUAUAGGUAUGGAAUAUUAGUGAAUAUAUAUAUAUGUACAUUGACAUUGUGUAUGUACAUACCCCGUGAGUGAUGGGAAUUUUAUCACUCCCUCCGGGUGGUGGAAGAUCACCUUAAUUUAUGUGUU
This is a long non-coding RNA of Diospyros lotus (date-plum), 440 nucleotides long. RefSeq lists it as uncharacterized. The record is from RefSeq and is a predicted model, not a curated record. The transcript has 2 exons. Lineage: Eukaryota; Viridiplantae; Streptophyta; Magnoliopsida; Ericales; Ebenaceae.